GGGGGUAUCGUUCAGUGGCAGGACAGCGGUCUCCAAAACCGCUAACGUGGGUUCGAUUCCUACUACCCCCGCCA
This 74-nucleotide transfer RNA is filed under the name Patescibacteria group bacterium. RNAcentral's name for it is "tRNA-Trp". It matches the Rfam family "tRNA". Rfam says of the family: Transfer RNA (tRNA) molecules are approximately 80 nucleotides in length. The record is from RNAcentral.